CCUACGGGCGGCAGCAGUAGGGAAUCUUUCACAAUGGGCGAAAGCCUGACGGAGCAACGCCGCGUGCAGGAUGAAGGCUUUCGGGUUGUAAACUGCUUUUAUAAGCGAGAAAUAUGAUGGUAACUUACGAAUAAGGAUCGGCUAACUACGUGCCAGCAGCCGCGGUCAUACGUAGGAUCCGAGCAUUAUCCGGGGUGACUGGGUGUAAAGAGUUGCGUAGGUGGCAUAAUAAGUAGCGAGUGAAAUCUGGUGGCUCAACCAUUCAGACUAUUAGCUAAACUGUUAAGCUCGAGACCGUUAGAGGUAAGUGGAAUGUCUAGUGUAGGAGUGAAAUCCGUAGAUAUUAGAAGGAACACCAAUAGCGUAGGCAGGUUGCUGGGACGGUACUGACACUGAGGCACGAAAGCGUAGGGAGCAAACAGGAUUAGAUACCCUAGUAGUC
RNAcentral lists this ribosomal RNA (442 nucleotides) under uncultured bacterium. Its description in RNAcentral is "partial 16S ribosomal RNA". It matches the Rfam family "Bacterial small subunit ribosomal RNA", at positions 338 to 795 of the family's 1533-position model. The record is from RNAcentral.